UAUGACAGCCCCUGUGUGGGGGUCUAUGGCUGUGACAAUGCAGUUCUGGCGGGACCCAACUGAGAGUACCAAUUCAGGACUAAUUUCUUAAACAGGGCAGUUACAGCCCAAGGCUGGAGUUUUUCCACCUCUAAGCCAAACCAAACCAGCCA
Long non-coding RNA from Gopherus evgoodei (Goodes thornscrub tortoise), 152 nucleotides. RefSeq lists it as uncharacterized. NCBI's taxonomy places the organism in Eukaryota, Metazoa, Chordata, Testudines, Testudinidae. The transcript has 3 exons. The record is from RefSeq and is a predicted model, not a curated record.